AGGUAUAUUAUCAUGUCGUCUGCAAAUAGAGACAAUUUGGCUUCCACCUUUCCUAUUUGAAUACCCUUUAUUUCUUUUUCUUGCCUGAUUGCUCUGGCUAGAACUUCCAGUACUAUAUUGAAUAGGAGUGGUGAAAGAGGGCAUCCUUGUCUAGUGCCAGAGAUCGGUUAGGGGCCAGAGAGGACUUUCCCCAACCCUGGAGAUGCCCUGAAGGUUCACUGGCUCUCCGGAUUAGCCUCUUCCUCUGUCAGGCAAAGACGAGGAGCCCGUUUGCCCAUUGGGCCCUGGGCAGGGACUUGCAGUGGAUUCUUGGUCAGGUGUCCCUGCACAUGCGGAGGCGAGAAGGUGAUUCCAUCAUUCCAGUUCUCGCCCACAGUUUUGGUGAAGCAGGGGACACACCCCACAGCCCUAGCUCUCAAAUGUCUUCACGGUCCUUACUUCUCUACCUGUCUCAAGAAGGAGCUCAGAGCAGAGACUUGUGAAUUCCUUAGCAACGUGAGUAUAUGAAUGUUUUGCAUAUGUCCACAGUAUUGGCAAGAUAAUUAUGUAAUUCAGAUACUUUUAAUCAUGUUUCAAGAAAGAGGCUCCUCCCAUUCGCCACCCUAGAGAAUUGCCUUUGUUAAAUCAAGACACAUACAUAUCAAACCAUGACUUUGAAAGGUCUUUGAGGCUGGGACAAUGUAAUGAAUUAGUUUAAAAGCCAAGGUCAGACAUGAAUUAAUAGUCAAUUUCCCUUCAGCACAAGGAAAAGGUGAUUUACAUGAGUAGCUCUUUUGAAGGUUGUGGCUGACUUGUUCAUACCGUGUCACCUCAUGGCUGGCGUGGUGUUGAACGAGUGGAGAUUGUGAAAAUGCAGCUUACACAGUGGGGCCUAUUGUUCUUUCAAGAAUUCUUUUUUUAGCUCAUGGAACCCACAGGUCCAGUUUAGUAACCAGUGAUUUAGACAAUCAGUGAUAGGUUUAUAAUCUCAGACUAUUCCAGCAAAGUGUGGCGACAAAGGAUUGCAUUGUUAGGAAGAACAGUUGGUGGGAACGAGCACUCCUGGGCAUACCGCUGACUUUCAAAAGUCCCUUGUUCCAGGUAUAGGAGACCCAAGGCAUCCUGAAGCCCACCUAUAAGAACAGAGUCUUCCAGCAUAUAUUUGCUUUUUUAGAAACUCUAGCAUUCUUUUUAAAUACUGAAGCAAUCCUUAAUGGAAAAGAGAUUUCAUGAAACAAAUUAGGUAUUUCAAGAGUUGAUCUAUUUUUGGUGUCCAAAAUUCACGAAUACAGAAGCUUGACAAGCAUGUCUUCACCUUCUCACCACAUAAACACAUGGACACACACCCAAGCCACAAGAAAUCCCAAGAGAGCAGAGGAGAAUUUUUAAAAGAUUUAUCAUGAGGACUGCAUUUCCAUUCACUCAAACUUAUGAGACAGGAAAUAGGGGCCAACAGUAAAUGGGGGCGGCCGCCUGUCGUGCCCAGGCGAGGACUUCUUGAACUUCUACCAAUCUCCAUUUGAUUUUCUUCACCUUUAUUUCAUCUUCAUAAGAAGAGAAAGGCUCAAAAGGAAGCACUGUUAGAAAGUUUCUCUGACCUAGAAGAAUCCGUCUAAAUCCCUGCCUUCCUCUCUGAACAAACAGUUCCUGUCUCUGACAGGGGCCAUCCUCUAUCUUCCAUCCAGUG
RNAcentral lists this long non-coding RNA (1666 nucleotides) under Callithrix jacchus (white-tufted-ear marmoset). RNAcentral's name for it is "lncRNA (ENSCJAG00000079442.1)". Lineage: Eukaryota; Metazoa; Chordata; Mammalia; Primates; Cebidae. The record is from RNAcentral.